CCUACGGGGGGCAGCAGUGAGGAAUAUUGGUCAAUGGGCGUAAGCCUGAACCAGCCAAGUCGCGUGAGGGAUGAAGGUUCUACGGAUUGUAAACUUCUUUUAUAAGGGAAUAAAGUGAGGCACGUGUCCCUUUUUGUAUGUACUUUAUGAAUAAGGAUCGGCUAACUCCGUGCCAGCAGCCGCGGUAAUACGGAGGAUCCGAGCGUUAUCCGGAUUUAUUGGGUUUAAAGGGUGCGUAGAUGGGCUGUUAAGUCAGUGGUGAAAGUUUGUGGCUCAACCGUAAAAUUGCAAUUGAUACUGGGAGGCUUGAGUACGGUUGAGGUAGGCGGAAUGCGUGGUGUAGCGGUGAAAUGCUUAGAUAUCACGAAGAACCCCGAUUGCGAAGGCAGCUUACUAAGCUGCCACUGACAUUGAUGCACGAAAGUGUGGGUAUCAAACAGGAUUAGAUACCCUGGUAGUC
This 460-nucleotide ribosomal RNA is filed under the name uncultured bacterium. Its description in RNAcentral is "partial 16S ribosomal RNA". It matches the Rfam family "Bacterial small subunit ribosomal RNA", at positions 338 to 795 of the family's 1533-position model. The record is from RNAcentral.